Molecule: ribosomal RNA, 426 nt
Filed under: uncultured bacterium
Lineage: Bacteria
Description: bacterial SSU rRNA
Rfam family: Bacterial small subunit ribosomal RNA
Source: RNAcentral
GGGGAAUCUUCCACAAUGGGCGAAAGCCUGAUGGAGCAACGCCGCGUGAGUGAUGAAGGCCUUCGGGUUGUAAAGCUCUGUUAUUCGGGACGAAAGAGCGCAUGGCUAAUAUCCAUGCGAAGUGACGGUACCGAAAGAGAAAGCCACGGCUAACUACGUGCCAGCAGCCGCGGUAAUACGUAGGUGGCAAGCGUUAUCCGGAUUUAUUGGGCGUAAAGCGAGCGCAGGCGGUUUCUUAAGUCUGAUGUGAAAGCCCCCGGCUCAACCGGGGAGGGUCAUUGGAAACUGGGAGACUUGAGUGCAGAAGAGGAGAGUGGAAUUCCAUGUGUAGCGGUGAAAUGCGUAGAUAUAUGGAGGAACACCAGUGGCGAAGGCGGCUCUCUGGUCUGUAACUGACGCUGAGGCUCGAAAGCGUGGGGAGCGAAC